Molecule: unclassified non-coding RNA, 619 nt
Filed under: Hevea brasiliensis (rubber tree)
Lineage: Eukaryota; Viridiplantae; Streptophyta; Magnoliopsida; Malpighiales; Euphorbiaceae
Source: RNAcentral
AGAAUACGUACAAUACAGGAACAAACAAAAAAAACCCUUCUAUAUCUUCGAUCAAUCGAUAGAAAAUAGACAUAUCAACGUGCCCAAAAAAUGAUAUUUCGAAAAAAUUAAUGAACGUCUCGGAAGCCCAAGAAAACAGAACAAAUAGUACAUUUGGAGAAUUCUUCAGUCUGAUUACUUCUUCUCGGAUCCUUUGAGGUUAAGGUUGAACCAUUUUCUCUUCGCGUAUUUGUCCUUGGAGUCUGAACUGCUAUCGUCCCCUGGGCUAUCGGGUUUUGAGUCAUCACCAGAAGGUUUACUGCUACUUCCGUUACUGAAAUGGCCACUCCCACUGCCACUUAACGUAGCAACUGUCCUUGUAACGGUGAAAGAAGAGUGUAUGGUGUCUCUCUGUUUGAGCAGUUCUUCGACAGACUGCUUCUCCUGGCUAUAUCUAUUGGUUACUUCCUGGAACCGCGCUAAUGCCUUUCUAUAUUCUGUUUCAAACUGUCGAAGCUCAUUUCUCUUCCUCAAUAUCUGAGCCUCGAUAUCCUGGAGAUUAUGAGUUGUAUCCUCGUAUGUCUUGGCACACAGAGCCUCAAUAGUAUAACUAGCAGGCUUAAAGAAAUUAUCUCCAUAA